GUGCUUGCUUCGGCAGCACAUAUACUAAAAUUGGAACGAUAGAGAGAAGAUUAGCAUGGCCCCUGUGCAAGGAUGACACGCAAAUUUGUGAAGCGUUCCAUAUUUUU
This is a small nuclear RNA of Nomascus leucogenys (northern white-cheeked gibbon), 107 nucleotides long. Lineage: Eukaryota; Metazoa; Chordata; Mammalia; Primates; Hylobatidae. The record is from Ensembl.